RNAcentral lists this ribosomal RNA (1335 nucleotides) under Austrosciara angustistylata. Its description in RNAcentral is "eukaryotic LSU rRNA". It matches the Rfam family "Eukaryotic large subunit ribosomal RNA", at positions 664 to 1859 of the family's 3401-position model. Lineage: Eukaryota; Metazoa; Arthropoda; Insecta; Diptera; Sciaridae. The record is from RNAcentral.
GACCAAGAAGUCUAACAUGUGUGCGAGUCAUUGGGUAUAUUGUUGAAACCUAAGGGCGUAAUUAAAAUAACUAUUUUAUGGGAUUACAAGUGAAUUAAAUUUCAUUUCUCCAUCCCGGGGCGUUCUAUACGAACAUGGUGCAAGCAAUUGAACCCUCUGUUCAAGAGCGUACCUUGAGCAUACAUGCUGUGACCCGAAAGAUGGUGAACUAUACCUGAUCAGAUCGAAGCCAGGAGAAAUUCUGGUGGAGGAUCGAAACAGUUCUGACGUGCAAAUCGAUUGUCAGAAUUGGGUAUAGGGGCGAAAGACCAAUCGAACCAUCUAGUAGCUGGUUCCCUCCGAAGUUUCCCUCAGGAUAGCUGGCGCAAAUAAUUAUAUUUUAUAUAAUCUUAUCUGGUAAAGCGAAUGAUUAGAGGCCUUGGGGCCGAAACGACCUCAACCUAUUCUCAAACUUUAAAUGGGUAAGAACCUCAUCUUUCUUGAUCUGAAGAUAUUGGGGUUUAGAUAUAUUGUGCCCAGUGGGCCACUUUUGGUAAGCAGAACUGGCGCUGUGGGAUGAACCAAACAUGAUGUUACGGCGCCUAAAUUAAUGACUCAUAUUGAUACCAUGAAAGGCGUUGGUUGCUUAAAACAGCAGGACGGUGGACAUGGAAGUCGUAAUCCGCUAAGGAGUGUGUAACAACUCACCUGCCGAAGCAACUAGCCCUUAAAAUGGAUGGCGCUCAAGUCAUAUGCCUAUACAUCAUCGCUAGGAUAGAAAUUGUUGACCGUUUGGUCAUCAUUAUGAAAUUCUAGUGAGUAGGAGGGUACAAUGGUGUGCGCAGAAGUGUUUGGCGUGAGCCUGCAUGAAGCCGCCAUUGGCACAGAUCUUGGUGGUAGUAGCAAAUAAUCGAAUGAGAUCUUGGAGGACUGAAGUGGAGAAGGGUUUCGUGUGAACAGUGGUUGAUCACGAGUUAGUCGGUCCUAAGCUUUAUGCGAAAGCUGUUUAAUUUAUGUUACAUACAAAAUUUUUUGUUGUACAUAAUUCAAUAAAAGCGAAAGGGAAUACGGUUCCAAUUCCGUAACCUGUUGAGUAUACGUUUGUUUAUUAAAAAUGGGUCUUAUUACACUCAUCCUGGCAACAGGAACGACCAUAGAGAAGCCUUCGAGAGAUACUGGAAGAGUUUUCUUUUCUGCUAAACAAACGUAUCACCAUGGAAGUCUUUUAUAGAGAGAUAUGGUGGAUGGCUUGGAAGAGCAUGACAUUUACUGUUGUGUCAGUAUUUUCUCCUUGGACCUUGAAAAUCUAUGGUGGGGCCACGCAAACUUCUCAACAGACCGUACCGAUAUCCGCAG